GUACUUGCUUCGGCAGUACAUAUACUAAAACUGGAACGAUACAGAGAAGAUUAGCAUGGCCCCUGCGCAAGGAUGACACGCAAAAUCGUGAAGCGUUCCACAUUUUU
This 107-nucleotide small nuclear RNA is filed under the name Bombyx mandarina (wild silkworm). The record is from RNAcentral. Lineage: Eukaryota; Metazoa; Arthropoda; Insecta; Lepidoptera; Bombycidae.